RNAcentral lists this ribosomal RNA (870 nucleotides) under uncultured bacterium. RNAcentral's name for it is "bacterial SSU rRNA". It matches the Rfam family "Bacterial small subunit ribosomal RNA", at positions 8 to 898 of the family's 1533-position model. The record is from RNAcentral.
AGAGUUUGAUCCUGGCUCAGGACGAACGCUGGCGGCGUGCCUAACACAUGCAAGUCGAGCGAUGAAACCCUUCGGGGUGGAUUAGCGGCGGACGGGUGAGUAACACGUGGGUAACCUGCCUCAAAGAGGGGGAUAGCCUCCCGAAAGGGAGAUUAAUACCGCAUAACAUUAGUUUUUCGCAUGGGAAACUAAUUAAAGGAGCAAUCCGCUUUGAGAUGGACCCGCGGCGCAUUAGCUAGUUGGUGAGGUAACGGCUCACCAAGGCGACGAUGCGUAGCCGACCUGAGAGGGUGAUCGGCCACAUUGGAACUGAGACACGGUCCAGACUCCUACGGGAGGCAGCAGUGGGGAAUAUUGCACAAUGGGCGAAAGCCUGAUGCAGCAACGCCGCGUGAGUGAUGAAGGCCUUCGGGUUGUAAAGCUCUGUCUUUUGGGACGAUAAUGACGGUACCARAGGAGGAAGCCACGGCUAACUACGUGCCAGCAGCCGCGGUAAUACGUAGGUGGCGAGCGUUGUCCGGAUUUACUGGGCGUAAAGGGAGCGUAGGCGGAUAUUUAAGUSAGAUGUGAAAUACCCGAGCUUAACUUGGGUGCUGCAUUUSAAACUGGAUAUCUAGAGUGCAGGAGAGGARARUGGAAUUCCUAGUGUAGCGGUGAAAUGCGUAGAGAUUAGGAAGAACACCAGUGGCGAAGGCGAUUCUCUGGACCGUAACUGACGCUGAGGCAUGAAAGCGUGGGUAGCAAACAGGAUUAGAUACCCUGGUAGUCCACGCCGUAAACGAUGAGUACUAGGUGUAGGAGGUAUCGACCUUCUGUGCCGCAGUUAACACAAUAAGUACUCCGCCUGGGAAGUACGAUCGCAAGAUUAAA